This is a non-coding RNA of Chlamydiae bacterium SM23_39, 74 nucleotides long. Lineage: Bacteria; Pseudomonadati; Chlamydiota. The record is from Rfam.
GCGGGAGUAGUUCAACUGGUUAGAGCACCGGUCUGUCACGUCGGAAGUUGCGGGUUCAAGUCCCGUCUCCCGCG